Gambusia affinis (western mosquitofish) is the source of this 1157-nucleotide long non-coding RNA. RefSeq lists it as uncharacterized. The transcript has 3 exons. The record is from RefSeq and is a predicted model, not a curated record. NCBI's taxonomy places the organism in Eukaryota, Metazoa, Chordata, Actinopteri, Cyprinodontiformes, Poeciliidae.
CCCCCCCAGCCAUCUGAUUGGCCCCCCCAGCGGCCCCCCCAAAUGAUCGACAUGUCACGACACCCAGUCAUUCCUUCACAGUAGGUAGCACUAUGUACCACAAUGGGUUGUGACACUUGUGACUGUUGUGACUGCUCAAAAGCAGCAGGGGGCGAUAUGCACCAUUUACGUUUAUUGUGAUACACCAUUUGGACACAACAGAGUUGACCCAACAGAAGAAGAGAAGGAGAACCGCGAAGAGACGAUAGAGAAAUAUUGUACAGCUAAGAGGAAUACAGUCGAUUUGACUCCAAGACGGAUAAUCUGACUUCAAAGUUCCAUCAAAGGAGGAGUCUGAAAACACAGAAAGCUCUGCGCCUGACCAGGAUGAUGAUGAGCCAGAAGGGGCAAUUGCAGGAGAUACCACUGAUCUCUUCUCAGCAGUAUCCAGCACUCCUUUGCUUUUCCAAAAGGACCCAGUGAUAUUUCAAAGUCAAAAGAACAGGGCCCUGUUCAGCCAAGUUUGACAAACUUCCCCAGAACUCAGCAUGGAACAAGAAAGAGAACUUUUCACAGCUCCUGGUACAAAGACUAUUCUUGGUGAUGCCAGGCUAAGUCACAUUGGAACACUUAGCAUAGAGUCAAGGAGGGCACGGGGCCUCAACAUGGAUGACUUUGUAACAUAUUUUGCUUCAUCUCACAACAACCGAAGGAUUUUACUUUUAUGAGUGCAUGAAGAAGUCUUGUGUUUCUCGUCAUGAUUUGGGUCUUCACCGACUGGUACUUGUACCAAUGAUAGUUUAGGAGUCAGUACAUUUGGUCAUAGCUGCAUUAAGUUCGAAAAUAAAAUGCACAUGUAGCAUCUAUUAAAUAACAGUUUCCAUAACAUACAACCUUCUUUUUUGAGAUAUUGUAAUUGUGAACUGUGUGACACUGCAUUCUCAUUGUAAGUCUUGUCUUGUUACAAUGGUGUCAUUUAGAGGUUAAUGUCCACUUAUGCUUUGUGUGGCAUGCAUUGAUAAUAAACUGCAAAUUACAUGAGCAAAUCUCAUUUCAUGAGUCUUUAUUUAUAUAUAGUAUGUGAAUGAAAGUACUUUUACUGUAUUGUCAUUGUCAUAGUCAGUGGACCCCUUACAGAUAGCCCUGGCCCCCCAUUGGCCCCCCCAGAAAUAAAAGUC